Molecule: ribosomal RNA, 257 nt
Filed under: uncultured bacterium
Lineage: Bacteria
Description: partial 16S ribosomal RNA
Rfam family: Bacterial small subunit ribosomal RNA
Source: RNAcentral
UACGUAGGGGGCUAGCGUUGUCCGGAUUUAUUGGGCGUAAAGAGCUCGUAGGCGGUUCAGUAAGUCGGGUGUGAAAACUCAGGGCUCAACCCUGAGCGGCCACCCGAUACUGCUGUGACUUGAGUCCGGUAGGGGAGUGGGGAAGUUCCUGGUGUAGCGGUGAAAGUGACGCAGAUAUCAGGAGGAACACCGGUGGCGAAGGCGGGUCUCUGGGCCGAUACUGACGCUGAGGAGCGAAAGCAUGGGUAGCGAACAGG